This 274-nucleotide ribosomal RNA is filed under the name uncultured bacterium. RNAcentral's name for it is "partial 16S ribosomal RNA". It matches the Rfam family "Bacterial small subunit ribosomal RNA", at positions 523 to 796 of the family's 1533-position model. The record is from RNAcentral.
AUACGGAGGGUGCAAGCGUUACUCGGGAUCACUGGGCGUAAAGCGCGCGCAAGCGGCUAUUUAAGUUGGAUGUGAAAGCCUACGGCUCAACCGUAGAACUGCAUCCAAAACUAUUUAGCUAGAGUGUGGGAGAGGAAGAUGGAAUUAGUUGUGUAGGGGUAAAAUCCGUAGAGAUAACUAGGAAUACCAAAAGCGAAGGCAAUCUUCUGGAACACUACUGACGCUGAGGCGCGAAAGCGUGGGGAGCAAACGGGAUUAGAAACCCUAGUAGUCC